Molecule: long non-coding RNA, 2719 nt
Organism: Cottoperca gobio
Lineage: Eukaryota; Metazoa; Chordata; Actinopteri; Perciformes; Bovichtidae
Exons: 2
Source: RefSeq, a predicted model, not a curated record
GAUGAGAGGGGAACUCAUCGAGGGGUGGGGGGACUGGUACAAAAUGUCACACGAAAGAAGAAGAAAGAUGCACCAUCACAGAGAACAUUUGGACACCACUACAGCAUCUGCACAGGGUCUGUUCCAAUUGAGAGGCAAAACUGGAUUACAUUUAUUUUUGGACCAUUGACUUGUUUUGAGCAAUGCCGGAUUUAUCAAGGAAACAGUCUUGGCAUAACCAGCAGGAUCAGAUGACACAGGCAGACUCCUCACUGGCCGCAGCAUUGUGUAACACCAGCCAGUGCUGUUGUUUAUCAUCGGGGGAGACGUCCUGUCCUGUUCUGGAGCCGCACAAACAGCCACGAUAAAGAAUGCUGCGCGCUUUGAUAAAUGUUAAGAGAAGAAUGAUCAUUUGGACCAAAUUUGAAUAGACAAAUAUUUUUAAAAAUGCAGAUACAGCAGGGUGUGUCUCUCUCUCUCUCUCUCUCUCAUCGGCCCCAUCUGUGAAUAAGCGUCUAGGCAAAGUGUUUCAUGGUCAGAGGAGGUGUCGAGGGAUUAAUGUGCAAGAUGGACAGUGAGGGUGUUGGGCAGAGAAGUGCUGAGAGUGUAAAGUAGAUGUUUGAACCUGACAGGGGGGUGAAAUGAAGAAUGAUAGGGUGUCACAGAGACAUUGGUGGUGAGAGAGUAGGCUGAUCAGAGACGCCCAAAUGUUUAGACAAAGCUACAGACACCUCUGCUGUAAUUACACAAACUUGAUGUGUGUAGUGUAGCUUUGGAAUUGAGGUCAAAUGAAAACGAAGGCUGCACAGAUACUAAAGUAGAAAACAAUGUUAUUCCACAUUUGUUGAUGUUUUUCCUUUAAAAGAAUGCCACGGAGAGAGCUGGUAAAUGGCACAAAGAACCACCCACUUGCAGAAGCAUGUCCACAAGAUAUGAAUACGUGGUCGUGUUUACUACAGCACAGGACAUUUUAUUCUCCUCUCGAGCCGCCACUGCCCCGGAAGAGCACAACCCUCAGCCAAGACGCAGCACAUCGCCGCCCUCCCUCCUUUCCCUCCCCUGCUCCUUAUGUUUACAGGAAGCAGCUGAAGGGAGAACACCUUACAUGGAACCUGUCAAGUCUCACUCAUCUUAUCUAUGUUUUCUUAGGUUCACCGUGUCCACGCCAACACCGCUCCUCCAGCUGCGGACGAUGGCAUGACAGCUCUUAGUCACACUAAAGCAACAAAACAGCGCAUUUGAAACAUUACAGUCCAAAAACAAAACAAAUUGCCGUGUGACUGAUAACAAUAUUUCGGCUCAGAUGAACAAAUUGGAGUUGGAUAUGAAUUGCCGCUGACUGUAGAAAGCCUGACAUGUUCAAAUAAAACCUGUUGCUAGUGGCAACAGCACAGAGAUAUAGUAGAUCACGAUGACACUGUGGACAUGAUUAACACCAAGUCUCUUCAAAGCCAUUAAGACGAAGCACAUAUGGAUGUUCUGAUUUUGUUGGGUUAAAAAAAACAAAAACAUUGCAGCUAAAAUCAUCAGGGUUAAAACGGAGAUCUGAAGUCGUGAAGAAACAAAACUCAAAAGUGUCUGAAUAUUGACUUCCUCACCUUACCUCUCUUUCAUUCUGUCUCUCUGCCAUUAGUAUACAUUUUAAAUCUUUAAGUCCCUGACACAAGUGCAGAACUUUUCCCUGUGGUGGUGCAAAUGUUCAGGUUUUCCUUUAUUAUACACAAAUGUCUAUUGCUGUACAUAUGUGUUUCUAACACUGUAAACACGAGGCACUGAAACAUUGAGCAGAUCUCUGUGCCUGGUACUGGUGACCCACUUAAUGCCAGAUCAUUUCUUUUCUUUUGAAGGGACUGUGAUGCCCGUUUGUCUUUGUUAUGACCCCCCCGGUAACAGACACAGAUCCCUUCUCUGAAGUCCCUCAAAAAGACAUAACUACAUCAAACAACUUGUUAUGAAAUGUUAAUCUCUGUGUGUGUGCUGAUUGUGUUUUAAACGUGUAUGAUGUGACAGUGAGGGAAAAGUGGUCAGACUUUAUAUAUACACUUAAAUGUAUUAGGGGGGGGAAAAAUAAAGGCUUGGCCUGCACUAAUCUAACACUAACGUCAGCUUAGUUCCUGUAGCCAGGCAGCAGCUCAAGCUGUGGAAGUAGCUGCGUCUCAGCAGCACAACAGAGCCUGGAUCCUGUAUCCUGCACCAACAUGACGCCCAGUCUGCUUUAAUGCACAGCCACUGCUGAUUCAGGAUCUCUCUCCAAAGAGACUGUACGAACAACCUUUGACUACUUGAAUCAACUCUGACCAGAAUGACAUCAAGAAGAAAAACAUUUUUCUUUUUUUAAAUAAAAAGGUCAGAAACGUGAUGAAAGAGGAGAUGCAGAGACACAGACACGCCUGGAAGAAGUUGCCCUCCAUACUGAACCUAAUCAAUGUCCGAAACAGUGUAGUACGCAUUACUGAUGGAAAGCUGUUUGAGAUUUAUUUCUGUCUCGUCCUGUGUGUUUGUCAUUAAAAGGCUUAAAUUAUUAAAUUGGUUUUAGCACGCUCAGGAAAACCUGAAAACAACAGUGUUUUUGUUCCUAAUCUUUCUCUGUGUUGUAAGUCCAUUGUGAGAACUUUUCUUUCUUUGCGGGCACGCUCUGUGUGACGUUGUGUGUUUUGCUUCACUGUACGUGUCACUAAAAUGCAGACAGGACCUUGAAGAGAAAGGUACUGGAAUAAAAACGCUUGAUUGUGUGUCUAUU